UGACUUAUCAGAGCAGGAAACAGAAACAGGAGCGACCAGGUGAAACAAGUGACAACGGGUUUCCCAGUGAACCAGAACUUCAGCAGGAACCUGAAACCAGCUCACCUCAGAGGAAUGCAGUGUAUGCCAGGUCCUCGAACGUGGGGCCCAGAACCGAGAUGCUCAUCCCCUGAAACAAAACAAGAGAGAGUGGAGUCACUGCACAGAUCUCCCUCCACCCCUCACAGCUUCCUCAAAGCAAAUUGAGGAAGAAGCAUAACCGCCACAGAAGAAAGCAGGUACACAAGCCACAGGUGUACACUGAUGGACUUCAUUAAUCUGAUCUGGUGGGUUGAAGAGCAAGUUUUCCAGCCAUGUAAAUCCUGUCUGUACAGGAUGUUACAACAUCACCUUUAAUACAUUAACAACUCACUGGUUUUAAGUUUUAAAGGCUUGACUGAAUACAUUUUGCAUUUUAGGUCUUUUCUAAACACCUAGUAGGCUUAGACCUUAAACCACACAAACAGCUGAAUUAAUGCAUUCUUUUUUCAUGCAAUCAUCUGACUUCACAAAGAUUAUAAACUAAUUCCUUGAGCAUAAACAGGUGUUUGUUUUGCCAGCUGGAGAUUUGAAUUAUUACACAGCUCGUAGUUGUUAAGUGAGGGACAUGUCUGCAGCUGUUAGUAAACUCCUCAGUCUCUGUGUUAGAUUACCAAGCCCAGGAAAGAUGCACAGAGAGCCAGGGUGACCAUCCAGCGCCCACACGCUCCUCCUCCUCCUCCUCCUCCUCCUCCUCCGACCACCUCCACCCGGGCGUCGCAUCCCGCUUUGCUCGACCUCUUGGCCGCCUUCAGCACACUCCUGAGCCCCCUCCCGGUGUCCUUCCUCUUGUCAAACAGGGUGUCCUCCUCCUCCUCCUCCUGCUCGUCGUUGUCGUCGACGUCGUCUUCGUCCUCCUCCAUGCUGGCGAACCGAACGUGUUUCUUUUUCACGGCGGAGGAAGACAUACCUGUCACUACCUUUAUCACCUGUCUCACUACCUGUCUCACUACCUGUAUCACUACCUGUCUCACUACCUGUAUCACUACCUGUAUCACUACCUGUCUCACUACCUGUAUCACUCCUACGUCUGUUGCAGCUGCAGGUUUGGGUGUUGCGCCGUCAGACUGCCUCCAGCCCGACGACAAAUGACAACUGUCAGCGCUUUAAUUGGCCUCCUGCCGUCCUGUUCACGCUUCCUGUUUGUAGUUUUAGCGGCUGAGGCGUUCAAAGGAAGUCGGUCAUCAUUAAAGCACCUGGACGGUUCAGGUAGAGAGAGGGUACCAGCCGCUGCAGCCGCGGAGACCCUCCAUAUGCUAACAGCGACUGUAUGACUGCUUGACGUUUGCAAAGAUCGUCUAUUAACCAGAAAGCUCACUCGGUGUAUCAAGGGGAGUCAGUAAUAAAGAAUCAGGGACUUAGCCUGGGGUGGCUGAAUCAGGGCCCCUGACUUCUGCAGGGGAGACAGGAAGUGAUAGGAAUGGACACAGUCACAUGAAUGAAAAGCAUUUACUCUUUCUAUCUCCAAAAUAAAGUGACAAAACGUAUUAGUUUGCUGGUUUUGUAUUGAUAGUAUUGGUGAUGGUACACUGUACAUAGUUCUAUUAUGGUGAUGGGAAUAUGAAUUAUUGGUGUAAUUAAUUACAUAUUUAGAUUAUUAGAUAAUGGCAUACAAGUAAUUAUUUUAUAUUAUAUUAUAUUAUAUCAUAUUAUAUAGCCUACUAUUGUAUAAUUAAUACCUAUUACACUGAGUUAAAAGCGGUAGGAUUAGAUACAUUUUUACUUCUUCCUACUCCUUUCCAGGCAUGUAAGAGCAAAUAAAGGACGAUGAAUUUUC
This is a non-coding RNA of Labrus bergylta (ballan wrasse), 1855 nucleotides long. The record is from RefSeq and is a predicted model, not a curated record. Lineage: Eukaryota; Metazoa; Chordata; Actinopteri; Labriformes; Labridae.